RNAcentral lists this long non-coding RNA (1402 nucleotides) under Dromaius novaehollandiae (emu). RNAcentral describes it as "lncRNA (ENSDNVG00000012439.1)". Lineage: Eukaryota; Metazoa; Chordata; Aves; Casuariiformes; Dromaiidae. The record is from RNAcentral.
AUGCUACAGGCAAAACACACUGAUUAUGAUGGGGCUUUUCUUUUAGCAGCUGCCACUGAGCAGUGUCACACAUGGAGAAAAUGGAAAGUCGUCUCUGCCCAGUUGUGUCAAGCAUUUAAAAAGAAGAAAGUAAAAAGAACGCAUGGGAAGAAACAGGUGGCAACUGUUGCUGUUGAAUCCUCCUUCAAGGAAGAGUAYGGGAGGGAUUUUUUUAAGAAUUUAAACACAGUGACUCUCCACAAGGUAUAUGGUGGCUGCACAGGACCAGUGCCCUUUGUGAGGACGCUCCUAUCUCCACGUGAAAGCGAGAGAGACAGGAAUCUCACUCCAGAAGGUCUCAGCACAGGAGGAAACAGCAGAGGAAAAAAUGAAGUGGAAGAACACAGAACCUCAAGCUAUUAAGUGAGCGGGAGAUUGACAGCCAGUCGUGCGUGCAUCACACCACCAGCCUGCUCUUCAMGUCUCAGCCGUAAGGAUGAGUUCAUGUUCGUAAGACAGAAGAGCUGGAUAGAAGAGAGAAAGAACAUGCCAAAAAUCCACAUUGAAAAAAUCAGUCAUAAGGCAUUUUGCAAAAGUGCUGCUUUGAUGAAAGCUACUGCAGUUCAGUGUUUCCACCAGGAGUGUGCGUGCGGGAGUGGAGGAGAGAAGGGGACAGGUGCCACUUUUCGGUGGCAACCAGCAGUAUAUUGGCUCAGCUGUUUCAUCAGCUCUAUCCAAAAUAUGCAAAGAGGCAAGGUUAAAUCACCGCGUGUCCUUUCUCAACGGCACUCCCUUUCUAACUCAGAUACUUGGUCCUUGUCACUGCAGUACCGCAGGUGUUGCCUUCCUGGUCCAUAUGCCUGAAACCAAACCACCCAAGACAACAGCCAGCGGUAAAAUGCCGUUCAUGACUAACUUCCCACAGUGGUCAGCUCAAGAGAUACAAAGAUGCCUGCAAUCCACAAGACACACGGAAGCACAAUUUCUGUGACACGAAAAAAAAGUGGAAGAUGAUUUAUCACGAUCUAAUUGGCAUUUGAAAGAGCUCAUCACCACCUUUUGAAGAGGAAGUCCCCAGGGAAACGUAGGAAAAGUGUACUCCUGAGGUCAGCCUGACAUUUGUCAUCCCAUGUGUGGGAAAACAUUUUCCUUGAAAAGAAGACGUUGGAGUCAUGAGGACUUGGAAGCAGAAUGGGGAGAGCCUCUACAGUGCUGGUAGCGCUGGCAUUGCAGGAGAAUGGGGAGACCGCAACGGAGACGCAGGCUGCCUCGACCCUGCGCAGAUACAUGAGGAAGGAUGGCCUCUGCCUCCCCAAGCGCAGCCGGAGCAGGUGGAGCAGGGAAAUCAAGGCUUAGCAGCACWUCUUUACCAAAGAGAAACCCCAGCAGAGAAGCAGUAAGUGCUCUUGUUUGCACAGGCAGU